UGCAUUAAGAACAUUUCCCUGUCCGCCUGUUAGUGUUUAUUUCUUCCCCUUCUCCUCCUGGGAGCCAACACCUCCCAGCCCUCACCUUUCACACGCUGCUCUCCCUUCCUUGCCUCCAUCCCUCCCGUCGCCCCUUUCCCUCCUCCUCCUCCUUUCCCAGCUCAGCAGCGGAGAUUUCUGUUUGUGCCAGUGGGGCGGCCUGGCGAGACCGCAAUUGCUCUACCCCACAGAUUGACGAGCCCUCAGAUGCCGAUUUACUGUACAUGGCAGCCACGCUGGAGCCGAGGCACAUCUGGAGUGGAGUAAGCUUACUCAGAAACAGGGGCCAGCUCCAGCCGGAGCCAGCGGAGCCGAGCGCGGCACUUGAAGGCAGCCCUCCUGCCUCCCUUCCCUCUCCCCGGAUCCUACUAGGAGAGGGCCAACAUUUAUCUUGAACAACCUUAACUAAGUCUUGACCUUCCCAGUCAGAGAACCACUGGGCAUUACUUCCCUAUGGCUGCUUGAAACCAUUCACAAGGUGAAAAUCACAGAAUCACAGAAUUGUAAGGGCUGGAAGAGACCUCCAGAAAUCAUGGAGUGCAGCCCCCCUGCAAAGCAGACUGCCUACAGCAGGCUGCACAGGUAGGUGUCCAGGUGGGUCUUGAAUAUCUCCAGAAAAGGAGAAUCCACAACCUCUAUGGGCAGCCUGUUCCAGUGCUCCACUGACCUUAAUGUGAAGAAGUUCUUAUGCAUAUUUAUGUGAAAUUCAGUGGUAAAGUUGUUCAUCAGCUAGGAAAGACUGAACUGCACACUCCCAAGGUCUGUAGUAAACCUUAUGUGCCUGAAACCUGGACCAAGGACAAAUUCAGGGAGGAUCUACCUCUUGUUAUAAGACUUUUGUGAUCUAUGUGAUUACCGAGGUGGAUAAAAGGAUUUAUUUGGGGGUGAAAUUAUUAAUUUGAAACAAGCAAACAUUUCUGCAGAGAAAAUAUGAUGGAACCAGUCUGUUUGGCAGACUUCAGAGAGAUCUUGGCAAUUGAUUGAAAUCUAAACUUCUUUUCCCAAUGACAGUUGGAUUUUGGCUGAGAUCUUCUAGAUGCCUGCAGGGCUCCAGAGGUCUCCUGUCUGGCUGGCAGACCAUUGCUCAACUUCCCUACUGCCAGGACAGUGGAUUGAUGGCCUGUCAUUGCAGGAUGGCCCACCAAGUUGUCUACCUUUGAACUAGAGACCUCCAGUCUUCCAGGUUUCGAAAAUGGGACAUCAUUUGUUUUGAAACUUUGUUGAUAUGUUUUGAUAUGCAUUGGAAAUAUUUUGAUUUCAAUGAAUUACCGAAUCCUGACCCCUAAAAAUGUUCUGUAGGAGUUUUUUGAACAGCUCUGCUCCAGCCUAAGUUUAAUGACCCCGAGGGAAAAAUGGUUUAUCCAUAAAUAAAGUAGAAAUAAAACAAAAUCCAGUGAAUGACUCUGAAGCAGGGUUUCUCUGAUUGCACUUAAGGGGCAUCCCUGCUUGUAAUCCCACCAGUGUCCUUGGAGAUACAAUAGAAUUGUCUGGGCACAGUUUUACAGUUCUUAUCUUAAUUUUAAAUGUAAUAUCCCAAUAGUAAUUGUUAAAGUUUUUGUUAGUUUUUUUUUUCUCAAUAAGUGCAAGUUUGAAAUUGAUUCAAGUCCUUGUUUUGUGCUAACUCCAGAAGUGUCCAUGAAGUCUCAAAAUGAAAUCUUUCCUGGUAGAUAACUAUGCAUCCUGCUGGUUACGCUAUUGUGAUUGUAUUCAUAACGUGUUCUCCAACUUAAGCAAUGUGCAGGUGCAAAAGUCUCAUUCUGCAGUACAUAAUUCUUUCAUCUGCCAUUUCUUGCCAGUAGAUUUCCUGCCCAUAUGAAUGUUUCUUGUGAAAUUUCUGGAGAAUAGUUGCUGGGUUUUAGCCAGUUAUAGGAAAACAAAUACACAAACAGCCCUCUUCCAAAACUCUACAACUUCCCCUCUCCCUAAUCCUCUCUUUUGGAAACCUUUGCUAUUCAUAGUAGAUGCUCUGUAUCUACCAAAAAAAAAAAAAAAAAAGACCAGUCAUAAAAAAUAAACAUUGUGGAUUAAGGUAAAACUAUUGCUAGACUUCAGUGAUGUCAACUAGGUCUCUAGAACCUUCUUGUAUACUGGUAUGUCUCUGCCUCAAGUGGAUGCCUCCCUUUAAACGUGUGCCCAUGUUAUUAUAUCCAGUUAUUCUAGAUAUAAAAGAGAAUUGGAUGUGACAAAUAAUAAUGAUUUUUUUAAAAAAGGUCUCAACACAGUGUUUUCUUUAAGCCUACAUGACUUUGGGACCUACACAUGUGCUCAGGUAACAGAAAAAUCCAUGGAGCUUGCAUUCAUACACUGUAUUUAUUCCAAUGGGC
Long non-coding RNA from Gallus gallus (chicken), 2363 nucleotides. NCBI's taxonomy places the organism in Eukaryota, Metazoa, Chordata, Aves, Galliformes, Phasianidae. The record is from Ensembl.